Cricetulus griseus (Chinese hamster) is the source of this 3333-nucleotide non-coding RNA. Lineage: Eukaryota; Metazoa; Chordata; Mammalia; Rodentia; Cricetidae. The record is from RefSeq and is a predicted model, not a curated record.
UGUACACCAGGCUGGUCUCGAACUCACAGAGAUCCACCUGCCUCUGCCUCCAGAGUGCUGGGAUUAAAGGCAUGAGCUGCCAACGCCUGGCAAAAUAAGAUAAUUUUUUUUUUUUAAAGAAAAAGCCCUGACAGGACAUUAAGCGACAAAGAACUUCCAAAGAUGAUGUGGAGUUCAUUUUGUGAUGGCAUCUACUGCUGGGCACGCAGCCUACCCUUAAGAGUAGCUUGCUUCCCUCAUGAGACUCCCUUGGAGAAAACAAAAUUUUUAUUUGCAAGUGGUUAUCUAUUGGGGAUAGCUUCUGGGCUAGGGAUGGGGGCAGGUGUCCACUUCUUUCCCUUCUUAGGACCCCAUCUAGUGUAGACACAUGUAGGCCCUGGGCAUGCUGCCUCAGUCUCUGUGAGUUCGUUUGUGUGCUGAUCUGUUGAUUUACAGGGUCUUGUUUUCUUGGUUUCCUCUCGAUGGCUUUUACACUCUCUCUGCCUCCUCUUUUGCAGGGUUCUCCGAGCCUUGAGGGGAGGGAUUUGAUUGAGACACCUCAUUUAGGACUGAGUGUCCCAAGACCUCUCCCUUUCUGCCUGUUGUCCAGCUGAGUCUGUAUUUAUUCCUGUCUACUGCAGGAGGAAAUGUCUCCGGUAAUGGCUGGGCAAGAAAACAUAGAUCUAUGAGUAUAGCAGAAUAUUGAUAGGGAUCAUUUUACUGCUGUUAGGAGUCAUUUGUUAGCAGAACAGAAGUUAGUACUUCGCUUUAUAUUGGGCCCCUAGUCUCAGGCUCUUGGUCACCCAAGCAGUCUAACGUAGGGUUCCAUCCAAUGGAUGGGGCCUGAAGUCAAAUCAGAUAUUGGUGGGUUACUCUCACAAGCUUUGGAUAGUGUCUGUAUGAUAGCUGCAGUUUGAUUGAUUCAGCCCACUGUGAAGAAACACUAUUGGUAACCUAUUCGAAGAGGGCCUCGAGUUUAGACUUUCCACAUUAUCUUAAACAGAAGGUAACAUGCAAGCUUCCAAAGGAGGGAAGCAACCAACAGUCCUACCCAGCUAUGACAUCUAUGAACCAUAAAAAAUGAUCAACACGGCAUGAUGACCAGAGGGCCACAGUAGUGAGAUGACCCGUGAGAUUUUGGUGAUGAUAGUGUGACAUAGAUGUCCUAUUCAGAGCUAAGUGGUCCACAGUCUCUGAUCGUCUGCUGUGGGCUUCUGUAUUUAUUAAUCACCAUUUCCUGAAAAAAGGAACUCCUCUGAUGAUGGCUGAGCGAUGCUCUAAUCUACAGGGAUUGUCUGUCUUCUGCAAGUGACAACACAUCUUAGUGUUUGAGAGAGAAUGAAGCAAGUGAGAGAAGGUGACUCAUGCAGUUGUGUGGAUCUCCUGCCAUCAUUAUAAGUCAUGGCGUCUCUGCUGGGCCUUCCCUUGGACCGUCAUUUGAAGUAAUGUCGGGAUGAGAGGCAUCAAAGCAAAUAACUUCAGUCCCCCAGAUUGACAUCAUCACGAGUUCUACCAAGUUGCUAAUGCCAGAGUCCUCUAUGAGCCAUCUCCAUCCGGGGCACGGGUUACUACAAAAUGAUGGCACUCCUCCCUCUCUGUGAGUCAGACCCACGUAAGGAAAAGCUGUGGGAGGAGAAAGGCUCCUAAUUCCACUCUGUUCCCAAGAAGAGCAGAGUGACCUUGGUCUCAUUACUCAUCUGUGUUCUGGCUCUGGAGCAGAAAGCGGAUGGGGGAGAUUGCCUCCUCCCUCAGAUCUACCUCUCGGGCCUUGCACUGACCACUCCAGCACCCCGUAAUCCCCCCACCCCCUCCUGCUCCAACCAGGCUCAAGGAAAGCAAAUGCUUGGUUGACUUUGGCAGCCAAAGACUCCCGAGGCUUUGCUAAGGUUCACCCCAGUUCGUGCCUUCAGGUGUCCUUGUCUCUCUGGAAAGCCAGCUCCCUCAAGAUUUGUAACUUGGCUUUGGUCAAAUAGCUAUGAAAUGGAAUGCUGUAUCUCAAGAUUGAUAGCCCAGUGGGCAUCAAGAUCUCAUUUGUUUCCUGCCCAGGAAAUUUUUCAGUGGAGGAGAGCUAGCAGGGCCCACUGAAACACCACAACGAGGAGCUUCCUGGGACCAGGCCUUGUAACUUGUCUCUGCUGCCACUCUUUGUGAGCGGGGUGGGGGAGAGGGGCACUAAUGGGUUCACUACUGAGGUAGCUCCAGAGUGCUCUUCCCCAAGGAAGAGGACUCUGAGGACCAAACUGUCAUUUCCCCAGCUAUACCUGCUGGUGUCUUGUUAUUGAAUCACUUGAUCAAAGAGGGCUACCUUGCUCAAGCUUAUGACCACUCCAUGGGGACAUCUUAAAUCUCAUGAUUGAACAACAUGGAGUCCUACUCCUUGCCUCUGCAGGCUAGCUCUGAGACCUCCGAGGUCAUUCGGUGCUGGCCCAGGCCUCUGCGCUGAGUGCAACAGAGUUCACCUUUUCUUCCACCCAGCCCCGAUACCCCUCACAGUUGGGUCUCUCUAGAGCCCAAUGCCUGAUUGCAUUCUGUCUCGUCUCAUCACAUCUGUUUCUUGGGAAACCUCACUUGUGACAGCCCUCCCAGCAUGCCCUGGGAGAAGAGCUGUCUAACGAGCACAAACUUCAGAAUGUGAGUGGAGAACAAAUCACCGACGUCACUCAGUAUUCAGACUCCGUGGCCAGCUUCCCUCCCUCACCGCCAGGUGUGGGGUGAGGUAGAGGCGGACUCUAGCUGUUGGUGUGAGAAGUGGCCGAACCCCAUUUCCUUCCCAGAAUGCCAUCGCGGUCUGAGAGGAACGUGCCUGUCAAAUCCUAACACCUUUGCUCGUCUAACACCUUGUCUUGGGCAAGUUUCUACAUUGGGGAGAAACCUAAACAGGAACUUUGGGGACGGGGAGCACAAGGCUGUGUGUGAGCAGGAAGUGGUGUGCACAUCACCCGUGGUUCAUGAGCCCAGUUAAACGCUCCGUUUCUGCAACAUCAUCCCGAAAAUUCUAGGAAAGUCCUGCAAUUUGAGCUUAGAAAAAUGAAUAAUCCUUUAUUAAUAUGCAAACUAAGAGGCUAACAGCUUAUCAAAUAGCAGUGGCCAGUGGGCUUUGAGUGAGGAGAGUGUGUAUGAGAGCGGCGCAUGCGUGAAGGGCAGGCAGCAAGGAGAAGCUCUAGCUGCUCACCACUCCCUGGGCCUGUGAUGUCAUGAGCCUAAUGAUGGUCCCCAGACAUGGUGUCCCGCAGCACCUGUAGAGGAAAAUAAUAUAGCCGUUAUCACAAAGUCAUGCUACAGCUACCAGCUACCAUUGGACUUGUAGACAGUGAUGUGAAGUUUUCUCUUAAAAUAAAUGUCUAUAAACACCAA